AGGUCCCGAGUUGUAAUUUGUAGAAGAUGCUUCGGAUGUGGCUCCGGUCUAAGUCCCUUGGAACAGGGCGUCAUAGAGGGUGAGAAUCCCGUAUGUGACUGGCUGCCUUCGUCCAUGUGAAGCUCUUUCGACGAGUCGAGUUGUUUGGGAAUGCAGCUCAAAAUGGGUGGUAAAUUUCAUCUAAAGCUAAAUAUUGGCCAGAGACCGAUAGCGCACAAGUAGAGUGAUCGAAAGAUGAAAAGCACUUUGGAAAGAGAGUUAAACAGUACGUGAAAUUGUUGAAAGGGAAGCGCUUGCAAUCAGACUUGCGCGCCGUUGAUCAUCCCCGGUUCUCCGGGGUGCACUCGGCGGCGCUCAGGCCAGCAUCGGUUUCGGUGGUUGGAUAAAGGCUUUGGGAAUGUGGCUCCUCUCGGGGAGUGUUAUAGCCCAGAGUGCAAUGCAGCCUACCGGGACCGAGGACCGCGCUUCGGCUAGGAUGCUGGCGUAAUGGUUGUAAGCGACCCGUCUUGAAACACGGACCAAGGAGUCUAACACUUAUGCGAGUGUUUGGGUGUUAAACCCAUACGCGUAAUGAAAGUGAACGGAGGUGAGAACCCUUAAGGGUGCAUCAUCGACCGGUCCUGAAGUUUACGGACGGAUCUGAGUAAGAGCAUAAUUGUUGGGACCCGAAAGAUGGUGAACUAUGCCUGAAUAGGGUGAAGCCAGAGGAAACUCUGGUGGAGGCUCGCAGCGGUUCUGACGUGCAAAUCGAUCGUCAAAUUUGGGUAUAGGG
RNAcentral lists this ribosomal RNA (772 nucleotides) under [Chalara] clidemiae. RNAcentral describes it as "LSU rRNA". It matches the Rfam family "Eukaryotic large subunit ribosomal RNA", at positions 133 to 922 of the family's 3401-position model. The record is from RNAcentral. Lineage: Eukaryota; Fungi; Ascomycota; Leotiomycetes; Helotiales; Porodiplodiaceae.